RNAcentral lists this ribosomal RNA (263 nucleotides) under uncultured bacterium. RNAcentral's name for it is "partial small subunit ribosomal RNA". It matches the Rfam family "Bacterial small subunit ribosomal RNA", at positions 26 to 287 of the family's 1533-position model. The record is from RNAcentral.
AGAGCGAACGCUGGCGGCGUGCUUAACACAUGCAAGUCGAGUGCGCGCCUGUAGCAAUACAGGUGGCGCACGGCGCACGGGUGCGUAACACGUGGGUAAUCUGCCCUUCGAUGGGGAAUAACUUCGGGAAACCGAAGCUAAUUCCGCAUAACAUUCCGAGGACUUCGGUCCAUGGAUUCAAAGCCGUAAGGCGUCGGAGGAGGAACCCGCGCACGAUUAGCUAGUUGGUAGGGUAACGGCCUACCAAGGCUUUGAUCGUUAGC